RNAcentral lists this ribosomal RNA (699 nucleotides) under Hyoseris radiata. RNAcentral describes it as "eukaryotic LSU rRNA". The stretch from base 289 to 444 matches the Rfam family "5.8S ribosomal RNA". Lineage: Eukaryota; Viridiplantae; Streptophyta; Magnoliopsida; Asterales; Asteraceae. The record is from RNAcentral.
CGUAGGUGAACCUGCGGAAGGAUCAUUGUCGAAACCUGCAAGGCAGAACGACCUGUGAACAUGUAAUUACAACAUGGUGAUGGUGAGAAGGACCUUGGUCCUGAUCAGCAGAGCCUCCCAGUGUAUGCUUCUCUGGUGCCUCUUUUGUGGUACCAUGGAAGUCUUGCUGGACUAUAACAAACCCCGGCACGGCAUGUGCCAAGGAAAACAAAAAUGAGAAGGUCUCAACCUGUUUUGCCCCGUUUUGCGGUGUGCACACAGGUUGCUAUCUACUUGAAAUUUACAAACGACUCUCGGCAACGGAUAUCUCGGCUCACGCAUCGAUGAAGAACGUAGCAAAAUGCGAUACUUGGUGUGAAUUGCAGAAUCCCGUGAACCAUCGAGUUUUUGAACGCAAGUUGCGCCCAAAGCCAUCCGGCUGAGGGCACGCCUGCCUGGGCGUCACGCAUCUCGUCGGCCCCACCAUACACCCAUAUGGGUAUCCUUGGUGAUUGGGACGGAAAUUGGCCUCCCGUUCUUCUAGUGCGGUUGGUCUAAACAAGGGUCCUUUCGGUGGAUGCACAACUAGUGGUGGUUGAAUAGACCCUCGUCUUGUGUUGUGUGUUGUGAGCUGUUAAGGAAACCCUCAUCAAAGACCCCAAUGUAUCAUCUUAUAAUGAUAUAUCGACCGCGACCCCAGGUCAGGCGGGACUACCCGCU